GAGCCCGCACAAGCAGUGGAGUAUGUGGUUUAAUUCGACGCAACGCGAAGAACCUUACCGGAGCUUGACAUCCCUCUGACCGGCCGAGUAAUGUUGGCCUUUCCUUCGGGACAGAGGAGACAGGUGGUGCAUGGUUGUCGUCAGCUCGUGUCGUGAGAUGUUGGGUUAAGUCCCGCAACGAGCGCAACCCUUAUGUUUAGUUGCUACGCAAGAGCACUCUAGACAGACUGCCGUUGACAAAACGGAGGAAGGUGGGGACGACGUCAAAUCAUCAUGCCCCUUACGCCCCGGGCUACACACGUACUACAAUGGUGAGAACAAAGAGAAGCGAGACCGCGAGGUGGAGCUAACCUCAUAAAAAUCAUCCCAGUUCGGACUGCAGGCUGCAACCCGCCUGCACGAAGUUGGAAUUGCUAGUAAUCGCGAAUCAGCAUGUCGCGGUGAAUACGUUCCCGGGCUUU
Molecule: ribosomal RNA, 461 nt
Filed under: uncultured bacterium
Lineage: Bacteria
Description: bacterial SSU rRNA
Rfam family: Bacterial small subunit ribosomal RNA
Source: RNAcentral